RNAcentral lists this ribosomal RNA (291 nucleotides) under Goniomonas pacifica. RNAcentral's name for it is "partial Bacterial large subunit ribosomal RNA". It matches the Rfam family "Bacterial large subunit ribosomal RNA", at positions 1472 to 1756 of the family's 2925-position model. The record is from RNAcentral. Lineage: Eukaryota; Cryptophyceae; Goniomonadida; Goniomonadaceae.
ACGCAGGAGUGAAGCCGUAGCCGGGCGACGGUCGUUCCCGGUGCAAGGAGGUAGGCGGUCCUGGGGGAUAAAAGACCCGGGUAGCCGAGAUCCGAUGCCAACGGUUCCCUUCGGGGAGCUGGAGUCCGCCUAAUCAGGCUGCCGAGAAAAGCCUCGGCGGGGAGUGUGCAUUGUGACCGUACCGCAAACGGACACACGUAGGCGAGGCGAGUAGCCUCAGGUGCGCGAGUGAUCUGUGGAGAAGGAACUCGGCAAAAUGUCCCCGUAACUUCGGGAGAAGGGGAGCCCCCG